GACGAACGCUGGCGGCGUGCUUAACACAUGCAAGUCGAACGGAAAGGCCCUGCUUUUGUGGGGUGCUCGAGUGGCGAACGGGUGAGUAACACGUGAGUAACCUGCCCUUGACUUUGGGAUAACUUUAGGAGAAUGGGGCUAAUACCGGAUAGGAGCUCCUGCUGCAUGGUGGGGGUUGGAAAGUUUCGGCGGUUGGGGAUGGACGCGCGGCUUUUCAUCUUGUUGGUGGGGUGGUGGCUUACCAAGGCUUUGACGGGUAGCCGGCCUGAGAGGGUGACCGGCCACAUUGGGACUGGGGUACGGCCCAGAGUCCUACUGGAGGCAGCAGUGGGGAAUAUUGCACAAUGGGCGGAAGCCUGAUGCAGCAACGCCGCGUGCGGGAUGACGGCCUUCGGGUUGGAAACCGCUUGCGCCUGGAACGAAGCGUGAGUGACGGUAAUGGAUAAAGAAGCACCGGCUAACUACGUG
This 468-nucleotide ribosomal RNA is filed under the name uncultured bacterium. RNAcentral's name for it is "partial 16S ribosomal RNA". It matches the Rfam family "Bacterial small subunit ribosomal RNA", at positions 28 to 507 of the family's 1533-position model. The record is from RNAcentral.